UCUCCGUAGGUGAACCUGCGGAGGGAUCAUUACAGAGUUCAUGCCCUACCGGGUAGAUCUCCCACCCUAUGUUAUUAUUACCUUGUUGCUUUGGCGGGCCGUUAGGCUCCGGCCCGACUACCGGCCCCGGCUGGUAAGCGCCCGCCAGAGGACCCAAAACCCUGAACAUUAGUGUCGUCUGAGUACAUAUAAUAGUUAAAACUUUCAACAACGGAUCUCUUGGUUCUG
RNAcentral lists this unclassified non-coding RNA (228 nucleotides) under plant metagenome. Its description in RNAcentral is "partial contains small subunit ribosomal RNA, internal transcribed spacer 1, and 5.8S ribosomal RNA". The record is from RNAcentral.